This 74-nucleotide transfer RNA is filed under the name Patiria miniata (bat star). RNAcentral's name for it is "tRNA-Thr". It matches the Rfam family "tRNA". Rfam says of the family: Transfer RNA (tRNA) molecules are approximately 80 nucleotides in length. Their secondary structure includes four short double-helical elements and three loops (D, anti-codon, and T loops). Further hydrogen bonds mediate the characteristic L-shaped molecular structure. tRNAs have two regions of fundamental functional importance: the anti-codon, which is responsible for specific mRNA codon recognition, and the 3' end, to which the tRNAs corresponding amino acid is attached (by aminoacyl-tRNA synthetases). tRNAs cope with the degeneracy of the genetic code in two manners: having more than one tRNA (with a specific anti-codon) for a particular amino acid; and 'wobble' base-pairing, i.e. permitting non-standard base-pairing at the 3rd anti-codon position. The record is from Rfam by way of RNAcentral. Lineage: Eukaryota; Metazoa; Echinodermata; Asteroidea; Valvatida; Asterinidae.
GGCUGGAUAGCUCAGUUGGUAAGAGCACAGGAACGGUAAUCCGGAGGUCGCAGGUUCAAACCCUGCUCCAGUCA